AGAAAGAUAAGCUAAAAAAGCUAUUAGGUUCAUACCCUAAACAUAGAAAUAAUAAUCUUCUUUCUA
Molecule: transfer RNA, 66 nt
Filed under: Abrus daozhenensis
Lineage: Eukaryota; Metazoa; Arthropoda; Insecta; Hemiptera; Cicadellidae
Also listed under: 1 other name
Description: tRNA-Met
Source: RNAcentral